GCGACUUAUAUUCUGUAGCAAGGUUAACCGAAUAGGGGAGCCGGAGGGAAACCGAGUCUUAAUUGGGCGUUAAGUUGCAGGGUAUAGACCCGAAACCCGGUGAUCUAGCCAUGGGCAGGUUGAAGGUCAGUUUUUAACGCUAUUUUUCUAUUUUUUCGAUAUAUAUCAGACUUUAUAGCGACGUUAUCGCUAUAUAAAAUUCUAUACAUCGUUUUAUUGUUUUUUUUAUUGUGAGCAGCAGAGUGAG
This 247-nucleotide ribosomal RNA is filed under the name Salmonella enterica subsp. enterica serovar Montevideo. RNAcentral describes it as "partial 23S ribosomal RNA". It matches the Rfam family "Bacterial large subunit ribosomal RNA", at positions 623 to 766 of the family's 2925-position model. Lineage: Bacteria; Pseudomonadati; Pseudomonadota; Gammaproteobacteria; Enterobacterales; Enterobacteriaceae. The record is from RNAcentral.